GAUGAACGCUGGCGGCGUGCCUAAUACAUGCAAGUCGAGCGAACAGACCAUGAUCUUGCUCCUCUGACGUUAGCGGCGGACGGGUGUGUCACACGUGGAUACCCUCCCUAUAUGACUGGGAUAACUUCGGGAAACCGGCUCUAAUACCGUAUAAUAUAUUUAACCGCAUGGUUCAUUAGUGAAUUACGGUUUUGCUGUCUCUUAUCGCUGGUUCCGGGCCGCAUUAGAUAGUUGUUACGGUAACGGCUUACCAAGGCAACGAUGCGUAGCCGACCGGAGAGGGGGAUCGGCGACACUGGAAGGGAGACAGGGACAAGACUACUACGGGAGGGAGCAGUAGGGAAUGGUACGCAAUGGGCGAAAGCAUGACGGAGCAACGCCGAGUGAGAGAUGAAGGUGUUCGGAGCGGAAAACUCUGUUAUGAGGGAAGAACAAAUGUGUAAGGAACGAUGCACGUAUUGACGGUAACGAAUAAGAAAGCAACGGCUAACUACGUG
Molecule: ribosomal RNA, 497 nt
Filed under: uncultured bacterium
Lineage: Bacteria
Description: partial 16S ribosomal RNA
Rfam family: Bacterial small subunit ribosomal RNA
Source: RNAcentral